CGGACGGGUGAGUAAUGUCUGGGAAACUGCCUGAUGGAGGGGGAUAACUACUGGAAACGGUAGCUAAUACCGCAUAACGUCGCAAGACCAAAGAGGGGACCUUCGGGCCUCUUGCCAUCGGAUGUGCCCAGAUGGGAUUAGCUUGUAGGUAAGGUAACGGCUUACCUAGGCGACGAUCCCUAGCUGGUCUGAGAGGAUGAUCAGCCACACUGGGACUGAGACACGGCCCAG
This 231-nucleotide ribosomal RNA is filed under the name uncultured bacterium. Its description in RNAcentral is "partial 16S ribosomal RNA". It matches the Rfam family "Bacterial small subunit ribosomal RNA", at positions 99 to 334 of the family's 1533-position model. The record is from RNAcentral.